GACGAACCGUGCGAACGUUGUUCGGAAUCACUGGGCUUAAAGGGCGCGUAGGCGGGCAGUCAAGUCUGUGGUGAAAUCUUUCGGCUCAACCGGAAAAUUGCCGUGGAUACUGGCUGUCUUGAGGGAGGUAGGGGCCUGUGGAACUUCCGGUGGAGCGGUGAAAUGCGUUGAUAUCGGAAGGAACGCCGGUGGCGAAAGCGACGGGCUGGAUCUCUUCUGACGCUGAGGCGCGAAAGCUAGGGGAGCAAACGG
RNAcentral lists this ribosomal RNA (252 nucleotides) under uncultured bacterium. Its description in RNAcentral is "partial 16S ribosomal RNA". It matches the Rfam family "Bacterial small subunit ribosomal RNA", at positions 524 to 775 of the family's 1533-position model. The record is from RNAcentral.